Molecule: non-coding RNA, 19 nt
Filed under: Arabidopsis thaliana (thale cress)
Lineage: Eukaryota; Viridiplantae; Streptophyta; Magnoliopsida; Brassicales; Brassicaceae
Also listed under: 1 other name
Source: RNAcentral
GGGGAUGUAGCUCAAAUGG